GAACUCUCCAUCCGUGGCGGCGAUGAUGUGAUAACGCCAACGGCGCCGCCCCCGGCCGCGCAGCAGUGGCCGGAGUUCGCAGCCAGGAAAGCCGACAGAUCGGGAUUGGCAGGCCGCACCUUGGCGUACUCGAUGGUCCAUUUCAAUCAUAUACAGAUGCUCUGCAAUUCUUCAGAUAUAAGCCCACACCACAGCUACGGAUCAUACAGCUGCACUGAAGAUUUUCCUGUGGGCAAUGCUGUUUGGAGCCCAUCACUUCAGCUCAUGGUUUCCAGAUGCCGGGCAGCAGGCCAGCAGCCAGAACCACGUUUUCUCAGGCUGGCACUGCCCAACCGACAGCCUGGGCCAUAAGCACAGCUCACUGCUCCGUUUCAAAUUCUAAAACCACCACGGAGCAUCAGCAUGACUUACAACAGAAGACAGUGUCCAGCGCAGCAAAUGAAAGUAUUCAGAGUGUGAUGGCCAGCUCACUGUUGCAUACACUGCCAAUAGCAAUAUCAGCUCUCCUUGUCAGAUUCACAGACACAAAUCACACAAUCCAGAGGGAAACAAAAGUCUGAGUGGAUUUCCUUUAACACGAUCUUUUAUUUGCUAUAUCUUGGUACAAGAUGGCAUCUGCCUAAAGGAUUUUACUAUAUGGACAGGGAAAAUACUUCUACAACACAAAUGCAGUCAGAAAAAGGGAGAAAAAAAAUAGAUCAG
Long non-coding RNA from Panicum hallii, 702 nucleotides. RefSeq lists it as uncharacterized. The record is from RefSeq and is a predicted model, not a curated record. Lineage: Eukaryota; Viridiplantae; Streptophyta; Magnoliopsida; Poales; Poaceae. The transcript has 2 exons.